RNAcentral lists this ribosomal RNA (329 nucleotides) under uncultured eukaryote. RNAcentral describes it as "partial 18S ribosomal RNA". It matches the Rfam family "Eukaryotic small subunit ribosomal RNA", at positions 1470 to 1796 of the family's 1831-position model. The record is from RNAcentral.
CCCUUAGAUGUUCUGGGCCGCACGCGCGCUACAAUGAUGAAUUCAACGAGUUUAUAACCUUGGUUGAAAAGCCUGGGUAAUCUUUUGAACUUUCGUCGUGAUGGGGCUAGACCCUUGCAAUUAUUGGUCUCCAACGAGGAAUUCCUAGUAAACGCAAGUCAUCAGCUUGCAUUGAUUACGUCCCUGCCCUUUGUACACACCGCCCGUCGCACCUACCGAUUGAAUGGUCCGGUGAAAUCUUCGGAUUGAGACUUUGACUUCUUCACGGAAAACGCUGUUUUAAAAAGUUGAUUAAACCUUACCAUUUAGAGGAAGGUGAAGUCGUAACA